AGGAAUUUAUUGCUUUUGUGGUGCUGGAUAUCCUAACUGGAACACAAAGAAAUGAGCUACAAAUUAUAUCUCCAAUUAAUACGAUGGUAAAUAUUAACAAAUUUAAUAAAACGUUCAAAAUUUCAAUAAAAUAUGGGAAGCAUAAAAUAUAAAACAGUCCUCUUAAAAGAUCACUUCGCAGGCCAUAGAGGUGUAUAAAAACGAUGAGACACAGGCGCCGCUGAAAUGGAAUUGGGAGUGGUUGUAAUGUCUGGCCAGAAACACCUGGGCGAUGAUACCCAUCACAAGUAUUGCCCCACAGAGGAAGAUGACUUUCUUUUUAAUUAACUCUUGAGGUACCGACGGCUUCUUUAUAGCCUAUGCAGCGAUGUUUAUUCGUUUGGCCUGACAGCAGUUACAGCAUCGUAACUCGUUGACUAAUUCUAUCGUUUUGCUGCGACGGUUUGUCCUAGUACUGGAUAUGGUCUUGAAAAGUCCGUCGAAAAGCUUUUGUACCUCGCACAUGAUUGUAUGUAGCUCUUUUUUUUAGUAUUUAAUUUUUUUUUUAUUUAUAUAAACCUUUCCAAAAGGUAGCGAUGCUUUUAAGAAACUGAGUAUAAUACUAUAAUCUGAUACCCAACGCUCUUUGAUAGUGUAUGAGGGCUAACAUUAAAGACAUCAUAUUGAUAAAUAAGAAUCAAAAUGGGAUUGAAAUGCAACGUGCACACUAAAAAUUGGUCAUCGCAGUUGGCAGACUGAAUGGAAUGACAAUGGAAUUGCAGACUGAACACUUCACACUUCACACUAGACGCCGAAAGACCUUCACGAUAAUGGGUAAGUGCAACAUUUUUCAGAUAUUCUGCCCCAUUUUCGACUGUAAAUUUAACCAUGAUUGAGCAACAUUAUUGUCAUUUUCAGAAUCAAAACGAAACGAACUCGAAAAUGUACAAUGGACAAUUUAUUGACAGUGAUUAUGAUUUGAGAUGUGGAGAUGUGUGAAACGCGCCUUCAACUCUACCUCCGGAGUGGUGUGGAAAAGAGUUAUUAAAUAAAUAACUAAAACAACAAAUUAUUUGAGUCUAAAGGCACCACAAAUGCUUGUCUUAAAGGUACAUCCGCUGGAUCGUGUUCCGUACUUGAGGCACUGCCACAUGGCGUUCCCAGUAUUUGUGUGCUACUCGUAUAAGAGAACGUCUUAUACGGCUGUGGGCGUAUAAAAGGUGACGGCCUGGCAACGAAUGCUCGCAUACGCUGGCUGGCCCUCGACACUACCAGCUGUAUCCGCUGUCCUCGUGCAGAGUCCUGAAAUGUGAUGCUCCAACAUCGUUAAUAAAUUCUCAAGAGAAUGAAAUGGGCACGUAAAUGUGUGAAUUGAAAGCCUUUCGUUGAAUAAGAACCACAAGCAAAAUAAUUUAAUAUUCAUCACAGCACUGUCAAAAAUAUAAAUUUUGACAUUUAUCACCAAGAGUAGAAUUAUUUGUAAUCAAUAGCUUAAAAUGUACAAGCG
This 1486-nucleotide long non-coding RNA is filed under the name Drosophila guanche. Lineage: Eukaryota; Metazoa; Arthropoda; Insecta; Diptera; Drosophilidae. The record is from RNAcentral.